UUCCGGUAGCGCAAUGGAUAGCACGUUAAACUUUUAAUUUAAAGGUCGUGGGUUGGAAUACCCCCUGGGUGUCCUAA
Molecule: non-coding RNA, 77 nt
Organism: Trichonephila inaurata madagascariensis
Lineage: Eukaryota; Metazoa; Arthropoda; Arachnida; Araneae; Nephilidae
Source: the annotation of a GenBank genome assembly